CUGAAUGGCCUUCUGGGCCUUCAACCUUGUAAACCUGUGGAAGCAAGAUGUGCUUUGGCGCUUUGCGCCCACUUUUUAUGCUUUAAUAAGUCUUUGUGUCUGAAUUAAAUACAAGAAAUA
RNAcentral lists this unclassified non-coding RNA (120 nucleotides) under uncultured Ascomycota. RNAcentral's name for it is "sequence contains ITS1". The record is from RNAcentral. Lineage: Eukaryota; Fungi; Ascomycota.